This 461-nucleotide ribosomal RNA is filed under the name uncultured bacterium. Its description in RNAcentral is "partial 16S ribosomal RNA". It matches the Rfam family "Bacterial small subunit ribosomal RNA", at positions 338 to 795 of the family's 1533-position model. The record is from RNAcentral.
CCUACGGGUGGCAGCAGUGAGGAAUAUUGGUCAAUGGGCGCGAGCCUGAACCAGCCAAGUCGCGUGAGGGAUGACGGUCCUACGGAUUGUAAACCUCUUUUGCCGGGGAGCAAGCGUGCGUUCGUGAACGCGCGUCGAGAGUACCCGGAGAAAAAGCAUCGGCUAACUCCGUGCCAGCAGCCGCGGUAAUACGGAGGAUGCGAGCGUUAUCCGGAUUUAUUGGGUUUAAAGGGUGCGUAGGCGGUCGGAUAAGUUAGAGGUGAAAUCCCGAGGCUCAACUUCGGAAUUGCCUCUGAUACUGUUCGGCUAGAGAGUAGUUGCGGUAGGCGGAAUGUAUGGUGUAGCGGUGAAAUGCUUAGAGAUCAUACAGAACACCGAUUGCGAAGGCAGCUUACCAAGCUACUUCUGACGUUGAGGCACGAAAGCGUGGGGAGCAAACAGGAUUAGAUACCCGGGUAGUC